UACAGAGGGUGCGAGCGUUGUUCGGAAUUAUUGGGCGUAAAGGGCGCGUAGGCGGUGCGGUAAGUCACCUGUGAAAUCUCCUGGCUCAACUGGGAGCUUGCAGGCGAAACUGCCGUGCUGGAGUGUGGGAGAGGUGCGUGGAAUUCCCGGUGUAGCGGUGAAAUGCGUAGAUAUCGGAAGGAACACCGGUGGCGAAAGCGGCGCGCUGGACCUCUUCUGACGCUGAGGCGCGAAAGCCAGGGGAGCGAACGGG
This 253-nucleotide ribosomal RNA is filed under the name uncultured bacterium. RNAcentral's name for it is "partial 16S ribosomal RNA". It matches the Rfam family "Bacterial small subunit ribosomal RNA", at positions 524 to 776 of the family's 1533-position model. The record is from RNAcentral.